RNAcentral lists this ribosomal RNA (460 nucleotides) under uncultured bacterium. Its description in RNAcentral is "partial 16S ribosomal RNA". It matches the Rfam family "Bacterial small subunit ribosomal RNA", at positions 338 to 795 of the family's 1533-position model. The record is from RNAcentral.
CCUACGGGAGGCAGCAGUGAGGAAUAUUGGUCAAUGGCCGUACGGCUGAACCAGCCAAGUCGCGUGAAGGAAGAAGGAUCUAUGGUUUGUAAACUUCUUUUAUCGGGGAAUAAAGGUAUCCACGUGUGGCUAUUUGCAUGUAACCUAUAAAUAAGCCUCGGCUAACUCCGUGCCAGCAGCCGCGGUAAUACGGAGGAUGCGAGCGUUAUCCGGAUUUAUUGGGUUUAAAGGGUGCGUAGGUUGUUUUUUAAGUCAGCGGUGAAAGUUUGUGGCUCAACCAUAAAAUUGCCGUUGAAACUGGAAGACUUGAGUGUGUUUGAGGUAGGCGGAAUGCGUGGUGUAGCGGUGAAAUGCAUAGAUAUCACGCAGAACUCCGAUUGCGAAGGCAGCUUACUAAGCCAUAACUGACACUGAAGCACGAAAGCGUGGGGAUCAAACAGGAUUAGAUACCCGGGUAGUC